This 72-nucleotide transfer RNA is filed under the name Loxodonta africana (African savanna elephant). It matches the Rfam family "tRNA". From Rfam's summary of the family: Transfer RNA (tRNA) molecules are approximately 80 nucleotides in length. Their secondary structure includes four short double-helical elements and three loops (D, anti-codon, and T loops). The record is from Rfam by way of RNAcentral. Lineage: Eukaryota; Metazoa; Chordata; Mammalia; Proboscidea; Elephantidae.
GCAGGUGAUGCAAAUGAUUAAUGUGCUUGGCUGCUAACCAAAAGGUUGGAGGUUCAAGUCCACCCAGAGGCA